This 1423-nucleotide ribosomal RNA is filed under the name Pila virens. RNAcentral's name for it is "16S ribosomal RNA". The stretch from base 620 to 1423 matches the Rfam family "Archaeal large subunit ribosomal RNA", at positions 1423 to 2827 of the family's 2987-position model. The record is from RNAcentral. Lineage: Eukaryota; Metazoa; Mollusca; Gastropoda; Architaenioglossa; Ampullariidae.
UAAUUAAAUUUCUUAUAAAUAUAAUUGGAGUAUGUAAUGUAAUAAAGCAUUUAUCAAUUAAGUAGUGGAGAUUGAAAUUUAUAGUUUAAAGAAAGAAGUACUGUAAAGGAAAUAAAUUGUUUAUAUUAGUGUUAGCUGCAGGUUUGUGUGUACCUUUUGCAUCAUGGUUUAGCUAGAAUAUAUAUAUGUAGUUAUAUUUUUAGAAAUUUAAUGAGCUACCUUUGAUAAAAUUUUUGGGUUUAUGGAGAUAAGUGUUGUAAAAUUUUACUUAAAAUUUAAGGUUGUAAUGAAAUGUUAUUCGCAUUGAAUGAUAGCUAAUUCUUUUUGAAAUAUAUAUAAGUAUAGUUCUAAAGGUUAAUAAUGUAUGUAUGUGUAAUAUUAUAUAUUAUGGUAAGUUUUAGAAUUUAGGUGAUUAAGGAUCAGCUUGGUCAUAAAUUGGACGAUAUAUGUAGUAGGUAUAAAUUAUAUUUAGGAUUGAAAUCAAAAAUAAUUUAAGAAAUCGUUAUAGAUCAUUAUUAUUUGACUUUUUAAAUUUAUAUAUUUAACUGUCUCUAUUUAUUAUAAAAGUGUAUUGUUUAAUUAGUAUUGAAAGUUAUAAUUAUGCUAAAAUGAGUAUUUUAUUGUUUUUAAUUAAUUUAUGUAAGUAAGUUUAUGUAAAUAUGUAUGAAUUGUUGUAAUGAAAUAAUUAUUAAGUUGAUAAAAGGAACUCGACAAAUACUAAUUCUGCCUGUUUAGCAAAAACAUGUCUCUUUGUUUGUGUUUUUAUAGAGAGUCUGACCUGCCCGGUGAUAUAUUAUUUAACGGCCGCGGUACUUUGACCGUGCAAAGGUAGCAUAAUCAUUUGCCUUAUAAUUGAAGGCUUGUAUGAAGGGUUUGACAAGAAUUAAUCUGUCUCUUAUGAAUUAAAAUGAAAUUGACUUUUAGGUGUAAAGGCCUAAAUGUCACUAAUAGACAAGAAGACCCUAUUGAGCUUUAAAGAUUUGUAGAUAGUGUAGAUUAUAUAUGAGUGAAAUUGUAAGCUGUUGGGAUUUUUAGUUGGGGCGACUAUUGGAACAGGUGAAGCUUCCAGAAUUUUGUAAUAUUUAAUAUUAAUUUAUUUAAAUUAGAUCCAAAAUGUUUUGAUUAAUAGAAUAAGUUACCAUAGGGAUAACAGCAUAAUCUAUCUUAAGAGCUCUAAUCGAAAGAAAGGUUUGUGACCUCGAUGUUGGAUUAAAAUAUCCUAAGGGUGUAGAAGUUCUUGAGGGUUGGUCUGUUCGACCAUUAAAAUUUUACAUGAUCUGAGUUCAGACCGGCGUAAGCCAGGUCAGUUUCUAUCUUUAGUUUAUGAAAUCAAGUUUUAGUACGAAAGGACCAAACUUAGAGGAUACAUUUGUAUAUCCUAUUUAGAUGAUGUUAUAUAAUGAAUGUGUUAGUUUUAUCUUUA